AGAGUUUGAUCAUGGCUCAGGACGAACGCUGGCGGCGUGCCUAACACAUGCAAGUCGAACGGGGAUUUUGUUUCGGCAGAAUCCUAGUGGCGAACGGGUGAGUAACGCGUAGGCAACCUGCCCUCCGGCCGGGGACAACACUCCGAAAGGGGUGCUAAUACCGGAUACGAAGUCUGUGCCGCAUGGUACGGAUUUGAAAGAUGGCCUCUAUUUAUAAGCUAUCGCCGGGGGAUGGGCCUGCGUCCGAUUAGCUGGUUGGUGGGGUAACGGCCUACCAAGGCGACGAUCGGUAGCCGGUCUGAGAGGAUGAACGGCCACAUUGGGACUGAGACACGGCCCAGACUCCUACGGGAGGCAGCAGUGGGGAAUCUUCCGCAAUGGGCGCAAGCCUGACGGAGCAACGCCGCGUGAGUGAGGAAGUUCUUCGGAACGUAAAGCUCUGUUGUUCCUGACGAACCUCCCCUCUAUCAACAACGGAGGGGACUGACGGUAGGGAACGAGGAAGCCACGGCUAACUACGUGCCAGCAGCCGCGGUAAUACGUAGGUGGCAAGCGUUGUCCGGAAUUAUUGGGCGUAAAGCGCAUGUAGGCGGUAAUUUAAGUCUGUCGUGAAACUGCGGGGCUCAGCCCCGUAUGGCGAUGGAAACUGGGUUACUUGAGUGCAGGAGAGGAAAGGGGAACUCCCAGUGUAGCGGUGAAAUGCGUAGAUAUUGGGAAGAACACCGGUGGCGAAGGCGCCUUUCUGGACUGUGUCUGACGCUGAGAUGCGAAAGCCAGGGUAGCGAACGGGAUUAGAUACCCCGGUAGUCCUGGCCGUAAACGAUGGGUACUAGGUGUGGGAGGUAUCGACCCCUUCCGUGCCGGAGUUAACGCAAUAAGUACCCCGCCUGGGGAGUACGGCCGCAAGGCUUAAACUCAAAGGAAUUGACGGGGGCCCGCACAAGCGGUGGAGUAUGUGGUUUAAUUCGAAGCAACGCGAAGAACCUUACCAGGGCUUGACAUCCUGCUGACUGGCCUGAUAACGAAGGCCUUCUCUUCGGAGCAGCAGAGACAGGUGGUGCAUGGUUGUCGUCAGCUCGUGUCGUGAGAUGUUGGGUCAAGUCCCGCAACGAGCGCAACCCUUGCUACUAGUUGCCAUCAUUAAGUUGGGCACUCUAGUGGGACUGCCGGGGAUAACCCGGAGGAAGGUGGGGAUGACGUCAAAUCAUCAUGCCCCUUAUGAUUUGGGCUACACACGUGCUACAAUGGCGUCAACAAAGGGAAGCGAUCACGUGAGUGUGAGCAAAUCUCAAAAAUGACGUCCCAGUUCGGACUGCAGUCUGCAACUCGACUGCACGAAGCCGGAAUCGCUAGUAAUCGCGGAUCAGCAUGCCGCGGUGAAUACGUUCCCGGGUCUUGUACACACCGCCCGUCACACCAUGGGAGUCGGUAACGCCCGAAGUCAGUGACCUAACCGCAAGGAGGGAGCUGCCGAAGGCGGGACUGAUGACUGGGGUGAAGUCGUAACAAGGUAACCGUA
RNAcentral lists this ribosomal RNA (1519 nucleotides) under uncultured rumen bacterium. Its description in RNAcentral is "bacterial SSU rRNA". It matches the Rfam family "Bacterial small subunit ribosomal RNA". The record is from RNAcentral.